GACGAACGCUGGCGGCGUGCCUAACACAUGCAAGUCGAGCGGAGAUAAGCGGAUGGUAACUGAAGCUUAUCUUAGCGGCGGACGGGUGAGUAACACGUGGGCAACCUGCCUUGAAGUGGGGGGAUAACACCGGGAAAUCGGUGCUAAUACCGCAUAACAUACACAAACUGCAUGGUAAGUGUAUCAAAGGAGCAAUCCGCUUUAAGAUGGGCCCGCGGCUGAUUAGCUAGUUGGUAAGGUAACGGCUUACCAAGGCGACGAUCAGUAGCCGACCUGAGAGGGUGACCGGCCACACUGGAACUGAGACACGGUCCAGACUCCUACGGGAGGCAGCAGUGGGGAAUAUUGCGCAAUGGGGGGAACCCUGACGCAGCAACGCCGCGUGGAGGAAGAAGGUCUUCGGAUUGUAAACUCCUGUCUUCUGGGACGAAUAAUGACGGUACCAGAGGAGGAAGCCACGGCUAACUACGUG
This 472-nucleotide ribosomal RNA is filed under the name uncultured bacterium. Its description in RNAcentral is "bacterial SSU rRNA". It matches the Rfam family "Bacterial small subunit ribosomal RNA", at positions 28 to 507 of the family's 1533-position model. The record is from RNAcentral.